Molecule: long non-coding RNA, 7860 nt
Filed under: Panax ginseng (ginseng)
Lineage: Eukaryota; Viridiplantae; Streptophyta; Magnoliopsida; Apiales; Araliaceae
Description: long non-coding RNA (PGIN_LNC003070)
Source: RNAcentral
UUCAACAUAUAUAACACACGUACAUAUACAUACUCAAACUCAAAAUAUCUCAUAAUAAGAAUUUUAAUUAUUAAAUUCUUACUUUAAUAAUUUAUAAAAAUUCGGGUUGUCACAUCCUUCCUUCCUUAUAAGGAUUCCGUCCUCGGAAUCACUGAAACCCUACCUUACUAAGGUUUUCACAAAAUCUCUUUCACAAUUAUCGUUGAAUAACUUCAACACGUUAACUUAGCAAAAAGUUUUACAUACAUAUAUACAUCAUUCAUUUAUUCAACAACUUUUAGGUUUUAUUACAUAACCUUCAAUUAAACAUAGUCAUAUAUCAAAUAUUAUAUAUUCUUUAACCCAUUCAUUUCCUUUUCUAAGGAUCGUUAUCAUAAACACUCGGGAUAUUACAUUCACCCCUUCUACGAAUUUUGUCCUCGAAAUUUUAUUUAUUAAUCUUUAUUCAUUCAAUCUAUCAGAAUAGAUUUUACGUUAAUAUCUAUUUAUUCAUUUGGUUCUACAACCAAAUUCUUUAUCUAAGGAUCUUUUUAAGAUCAUCAUUUUCCUCACCUCUUCCUCUUUUAGGAGUUUCACAUUUCUCUUCCUUCUGGAAUUUCAAUUUUUUUUUCGAAAUUAUUAUGUUUAGCUUAAUUUUCUCAUCUUUUCCACUUUCACCUUUUAGAAUAAUAAGAAUCUUCCACAAUUGCUCAAUAAUUGGGAAGCGAUAUGAAUAACAAGAAUUUAAAAGAUUCCAAAUCAUGCUGAGGGGUCAUAAGACCUUGAACUACGUCCCUAGGUUAUCAAGUAUCUCGACUUGAACCUUUAACAGUCAUAAGACUAUACGGAUCUUGAACUCUUCUCCAGGUUUAACAGUGCAUCACCACCAUAAACCAUCUUUAACAGAAUGUUUAGCAAUCACACAGACUGAAAACACUCUUUGCAAGUACUCUAGGUGAUCAACCUAUCGUACCCCUACGUCGUGCACAACGUAUUACAUCUUAACAUCGUAACGACUAUAUGCCUUACUUUCGGAUCCAUUGUCUCCGAUAACAUGUCCCUUUUACAGGGUUGUUCACCUUAGCUUUUCAACAUCUGAAUCCGCACCAAAACAAUUUGGUUUGGCAUAACUUCUCAAGAAACGCUUGAAUUUCAUGAACAUCUUUCAAUAUUCGUCUAGCUGAAUCAAAUAGCAUAGACUUCUACAACAAUUCGGACAUCAAUCAAUAUAUAUAUAUAUAUAUAUAUAUAUAUAUAUAUAUAUUCUCAUAUCUUAAAGAAAUCUCAAAAAUCCUUUUAUGGCGUCAUGAUUAUGACGUUGUCAUACUACAUCUCACCAUAGUGGGCUGACGAUCAUAUGAUCACAUCCAACACCAGGUUCCAUUGCAUUGAUGACUCCAUCGUUUAUCAUAUCACCCAAUAUAUAUAAUUAAAAUAUAUUUUGAAAAUUUAAAAAUCAUCAUUUUUUUCUAGCCGAAACAAACAGCAUAGAUACGCGAAUAAUAGCACUGUUUUAAAAAUUCUUUGGUUCACUAGUGUGACCCAACAUUUUUCAAAAAUUAAAAGUACAACCAUCGGCACGAAGUCAAUAAAUUUCGAAAAUCUAGCAAAGCUAGAAGAUUUGGAAAACCUAUGUGUCCACUUUCUAUACUGAUCCAUUGCUUAAUAAUUCUAUCUAUUUCCAUAAUCCUCAAUUCUUCAUUCAUAGCUUAUCUAUACCCCAGUAUAGUCCAUCAAACUUACUGCACAUUGGAAGUUCAGGAACUUUCCACAAUAAUAUGAGUUUAAGAACUUAUCCUAGUCAGACCAUAGGCGUCCAUUCGCUGAGGGGUUCAAAACAUACCAUAUUAUUAUGAGUCACGAACUUACCAUAUGCAUUAGUUUUAAGAACCGCACCUAAUCCUAAUAAUAUCUGACUAAUCUUAAUAGUUUCUAAUUAUCAAACAUACACAUGAGAAGAAUCACCUUUUCGCCACAUAUACAUCGAUAGCGCGACACCAAUAUUCCAAUGAUUAUUAAUGUGAUAAACUGAGUGCAAGCACAAAAUCCUCGCCCAUACAAGGAUUUGUAUAACUCAGCCAUCACAUGAGUCCUCAAUUGAAAUUCCACCUAACUCUUACUCUUAACUUGCUCUUUGCUCGAUACAAAUUCCUCGUAUCACAUUAUCUAUAACUCCUCGUGAGUUUAUCUCGUACUAUAUCAUAGUACAUUAUCUUCAUAGCAUCAAGCUAUAAUUAUUCAAACAAUAUAGACCAUCUUUCUUUUAUAACUUAAACAGAUCACGUCGUGAUCUUAUUCUAUAACCAUCUCUCUUAAAAAAAUUUUCUUAACCCGUGAUCGUUUUGUUUUACGAUCCUCUUUCUUUCCUUUUUCAUCAUUUACGAUUUCAUUUAUGCUUUUAAUCUUACAGGCUUUGUCUAUUCAUCAUUAUUCGUUAUCUUGGCUAUUGGAGUUAGGGUAACUCCCAUUUUUUAUCUUUAUAUCUCUUCAAGAUUCUUCUUUGAAUUUUCUUGUUUAUAUAACAAUUCUUCCUUUAAGAAUUUCUAACUUCAUUUACAUUGCUCAACAAUUCAUUCGAGUUCUACAUUUUCAACAUACGUAUCCAUUUUCUAUACUUGGUACACAUCGAGUCUCUAAUAGUUUCAAUAUGGUACAUUGAGUAGUUUCCCACAAACAACCAACAAACUAGGUUCUGAGUUGCUAGUUCGUAUAUACCUCCGCUCUAUGAAGGAAUCAUUUAGCCCAGAUACCAUACAUCAACUAUUAAAGAGUACAACUGUACCAUACUUAAAUAUAACUUUUUUAUUCUUAACUUCUUUAUCAUUCUCUUCUUAUAGACAUUAUCUAUUUAUUAUCACCUUACAUCCUUAUUAUUGGAGUUGGGUAACCCCACAUUCCUACUCCUUAUAACUCAACGAGAUUCUUCUUUGAAUCCUCUCACGCAUGUUUUAAUCCUUUCUUUAUAAAUUUUUUAAAUUACUUCUUAUUAUUCAAACUCUACUUGAGCUUAUUCUUUCAUUAUCUUCACCUUCCUUCUCUAAGGUUAUAGCUUACGGUACUCCUACCUAAGGUUUAUAAACUACAACAAUGAUACCAACUAUAACGACCCCAAAAUUCAUACAAUUUAAUUAUUAACUUCGGUCGUUAAUAACACAUCUACCUUUUGAUUUUACAUCAUUAUUCGAUGAUAAACUUUAUAUAAUGCGGAAUAAUUUAAACUUUUAUGUCUUCUUACUUUAAUUCCCUGAAUCAAAACCUUUAUCAUCUACAUGUCUUUGAAUCAAUCUUAUUUUAUGAUUCACUUUAUCACUGUUAUUAUAUAAAAUUUUACAUUUCAAUCCGAUAACCUUUACAUAUCAGAUAACUCUAACUUUAGCUUUACAACUCAACAUAAAACUAUACAUCAUAAAACAUUUAGUACAUCUCAUGAAUCUUAAUCAUGGUAUAAAGAAAUAACAACUUUAGCUAAAAUAUUAAUCUUCGUGUAUUAUUUCUGAUCCACGUCAUUCAAGUAGCACAUAGUGUUACCUUCAAUCCUUAACCUGCAAAAAUUGUUAUUUGCAAGGUUGAGCUUGACAGCCCAACAAAAUCUUACAGUUUUUAUGCAUCACGUAGCACAUAGUAACAUGCUCAACAUAUAUCUCAUAAACAUUGGACUAACAUAACAUACAUGUUACAGUUCAUAUAACAAGUAUAAAGAUUGAGUUCCUUACUCAAUCAGCAUGCUUUACUCAAUCAACGUAGUCAUAAGUUGACUUUAACAUUUCAUACAUUCAACAUAUAUAUAACACAACAUGCUCUUUGCAAUAAAGAUUUAAAACGGUUAAUCACUAAGUUCACAUAACAAAUAGGAACUGAAAGACUUGCCUUGAUCGUUGUUUACCAAUAACAGUUUAAUCAGCUUACAGUUAUCUGCACUUCACAUGCCCUACACAAUUAUAUAAUCAUGCAAAUCAACUAUUAGUCACAUAGCAACGCAUAGUAAUUGUAAUGUAAACUUUAAUCUAUGUCUCAUAACCCUUCCUAUCAUAAAUACACAAUGUUCAAUUUGAUUGUGUUAACUUUCAACUUAUAUCUCACUGUAUUUCAUAUUUGAAGUUUAUUCAAGUGUUUAAGUCUUGGUAGGAAUCAUUAUUGGUCUUAUAUUAACACUAUUCAAUAACUUAUUAUUUUCAUUUCAUUUGAUUUAAAACACUUUUUACGUUCAUUAUCACUUAUCACGGCGUUUCGACGUUUAUUUGUCACACGCCCAAUUUGUCUCUCUUGUGUGUGCUUAGUAUGCGUAUACAACUUAUCUAAUAUAUCAUUUAUUAAUGUUAAGCAUCAUUAUACUUCAUAAUAUUCAUGUUCUAUAUCUUAGAACAACAUCUAUUAUCGUCGACAUCACUAUACUUGUGUAUGUACAUGUCCGACGCCCUCCGAUUGCCUCCGAAUACACAUUAGUCACAAAGAUGACCAUUUUGACUACUGUUACCGACCUCAAAUUGAAAAACUUAAAGAAUAAAAGUUGUAGGUCUAUUCGUUAUCGUUCCGGAUCAUCUUCAAUCACCUCAAUCGGAGUUCGUAUGAAAACGUUAUGCCUAUUUUACUAAAACAGGUCAAAGUAGUCACACUUGACAUACUUUGGGCGCAGCUGCGCCCAAUUAAGCCUUGGGCACAGCGCAACUGCGCCCUACAGUGCAGCUGCGCCUCAAAUGACUUAGGGCACAGCCCAGCUGCGCCUGUUAGCAGAAACGGGACCUGAAGAUACUAUUCUUCGCGAUUUUUGACCCUUUUUCUCCUACUAAUCUUCAUAACUUGAGUUAUACACAUCCAAAUUAGUCCGUUUUUAAUUCUAUAGAUUCAUAAUUCAUAGAACUACAACAUACGAGGAUUCUAACAAUUUAUAGAAACAUUAACCAACCUAAAAUUUGACCCAAAAUACAUGUUCAUACUCUAUUUUCAUGUUUUAACACAUUUAGCGAAUUUGAUCGCCAUGGCUUCGUUACUUAACCGAUUAACAUGAUUUAAACUACCCCGCUUUCGUUUCUUAACAUACUAACAUAAUCCAACAUCAAUUUACAAAUUAUCACACAUAUUAAACAUGGAAUUUUGUACUUUCAAAAGUUAAUUUUAUAUAACAUACACUGUUAUUUACUUUUCUACCUAUAAACCCAAAUAUCAUGUAUUUAACAAGCAAGUAACAAUCAUAUAUGAUGAUUAACAGAUUUUGCAAGAGUAUACAUACAUAACAACCACCUCUUGUACAAUAAUUCAACAAAACUCAACUUUAGAGAAUAGAAAAUUACAAGACUGAGAAUUAGAAUUAGGGGUAAAUUAUACCUAAAUCCUUUGAUGGUAUGAUAACAAAGUAUAGCAAUCCUUUUCCAAAACCCUUCUUCUCCAACUCUCAAUAUCACUGUGUUUCUUCUCUUUUCUUCCAAGCUCUCUCUCUAAUUCUCUGUUAUCUACUUAGCCUUAGGCAAAGAAAUAGAAUGCGUAGAAAAUAAAAUGGCCUCCCUCACCCCCACGUACGUCAGGUCACAACCCCAAAGGUUUGCGUCAGUUAAAUUAGACCAAAGGCCACAAGGCCUUGUUUGGCCACGCACCAAUUCCCCCAACUAGAUUAUUUUAAUAAUCUUUAUAUUAUAUAGUUUCAUGUCACACCAUUAAAUUAAUUUAAUUAACUCAUACUUAUAAUUAAAAUAAUUAUAAUUCCCAUUGUAAUAUACUUAAUAAAUCUUUACAUAUCUAAUUUAAUUAAUAAAUUAGAUCAAAACAACAUUUUAUUUAAUUUAAUUAUUUUCUUAAAUAUUAAGCAAUUGAUUUAAUUUAAUUAUUUCCUUAAAUUAAAUCCUUCAAAUAAAAUUAACAUUAUUCAAUUUAAUUUACAUUAAUCAAUUUAGUUACUAAAUUAAUUCACCACAAUUUUAUCAACCAUUUAUUUAUCUCAAUAAAUAAAUAAAUUUAAAAUAUUUAUUUAAUUCAAUAAAUAUUUAAAAUUAAUUACUAAAUUCAUUUAAUUCCUUCAAUAGUUAACUCAACUAUUAAACCUCACUUUCCCAAUAUAUGAAUAUAUAUUUCUCUUCACACCAGAUCAUAUAUUUCAACAUAUAUAGCACGUAUAUAUACAUACUCAAACUCAAAACAUCUCAUAAUAAUAAUUUUAAUUAUUAAAUUCUUACUUUAAUAAUUUAUAAAAAUUUGGGUUGUCACAUCCUUCCCUCCUUAUAAGGAUUCCGUCCUCGGAAUCACUGAAACCCUACCUUACUAAGGUUUUCACAAAAUCUCUUUCACAAUUAUCGUUGAAUAACUUCAACACGUUAACUUAGCAAAAAGUUUUACAUACAUAUAUACUUCAUUCAUUUAUUCAACAACUUUUAGGUUUUAUUACAUAACCUUCAAUUAAACAUAGUCAUAUAUCAAAUAUUAUAUAUUCUUUAACCCAUUCAUUUCCUUUUCUAAGGAUUGUUAUCAUAAACACUCGGGAUAUUACAGUGGUGGUUGAUCAUGUCUGUAUAUAUAUAUUUACAGCUUUAAUAUAUAUAACUGCUUACUGCUUUUCAUAUAAACUGCGGCAUCAUGUGAGCCUAGGAAUCAUGUGAUCACAGAUUCAGUCUACUGAAUCUAGAUUCAGUUCCCGUGAUGGACAUUUUCAGCUGUAAGCAGCUUGUACAUUAUUUACGGUGUCUGAAUUUCCUUGGAUGGCUGUCAUGCCCAUGAGGAGUUCGGCAUUGCUGUAUAUUAUUUUCUCGAAGAUGUCUCGCAUCUCGAAAAUAAAAGAAAACAAGCCAAACAUUUAAUAAUAAAAUGAAAGUAUGAAAAGGUCUCAAUUUCUAUUGAGCACAGGGUUUGAAAAACCUUUUUCAUAAAACAUCAUUACUAUAUCUUGCUUAAAACUGAAUUUUUGUAUAAAUUCAAACCCUUUGUAUAUAGGUGCGAACGAGGCCUCACACUAUUUUUAAAUAAUUGUACAUUGAUCCACACACACAAACACAUAUAUUCAUAUAACAGUUUCUUAAGAAAUGGCGGUCACCGUGGCAACUCGGAUGUCGGGGGGUGCCUAACACCUUCCCUCCGCAUAAUCAAGCCCCCGAACCCAAAUGAAUCUCAGUUUCACAGACCUGUUUAGCAGUGUCACAUCACUGGGUCAAUGUGCAAACCUUUUCCGGUUGCGUUGGUACAACCAGUUAAAAACACCAACUGGCGACUCUUAAAGUCAAAUCGUCGACAUUACACAUGUCGGACCUUUUUCACUUGUUUUUUCAAACAAAUCUCACAUAACAAUGAAAACACCAAAGAACAAGUAACGAAAAUGGACAACUAAAAAUCCCGAGGUCGACAGGUGGCAGGCUCCGUAACUCCUCCCGGAUCAAAAGUUAUGGCCAUUUUACUAGAGGAUAAUGCAGCAAAAAAUUUCAAGAAACAGCAGCAUAUCAAGCCGGGGAUUGCUCCUUUAUGCCUAAUACCCAAGACAGGGCUGGGGGUCCUGAGUUCAAUAACAACAACAUAGCAAGCCGGGGCUUGCUAUUAUGAAGGCAACAAGCAAGCCGGGGCUUGGCUACGCGCAUAAAGAGUAGUUUUUGUCAGAAUUUGAGUUCAAGAAGGAUUGAUUCGAGCCGUUUGAUUCAUGGACUUCUAAGAGGACUUAAAGACAUAUAAAGAGGCAUAUAAAAAGAGGAGAAUUACAAGGAUUAGAGAAAAAAGAGGAGGAUUCUAUUAGAUUAGAUUAGAGUAGAUUAGGACAAAACCCUAGUUCUUAGUAGUUUUGGAGAUUGAUGCAACUUGGAGACCAUUGAAGAUCAAGAGCAGGAGCUUGAGGAUGAUGGGGAUUUGCUGACAACAGAUUUAUUCUUCACUCUACUCUUAUUUUUGUCUUUCAAUGUUAUUUUAAGUGUGGAU